This 206-nucleotide ribosomal RNA is filed under the name uncultured bacterium. Its description in RNAcentral is "partial 16S ribosomal RNA". It matches the Rfam family "Bacterial small subunit ribosomal RNA", at positions 568 to 774 of the family's 1533-position model. The record is from RNAcentral.
AGCGUAGACGGUGUGGCAAGUCUGAUGUGAAAGGCAUGGGCUCAACCUGUGGACUGCAUUGGAAACUGUCAUACUUGAGUGCCGGAGGGGUAAGCGGAAUUCCUAGUGUAGCGGUGAAAUGCGUAGAUAUUAGGAGGAACACCAGUGGCGAAGGCGGCUUACUGGACGGUAACUGACGUUGAGACUCGAAAGCGUGGGAGCAAACA